CUGUGUUUUUUGUUAUUACAACAACUAUUGCUUUGGCUUGGCCUUCGGGUUGGGCCAGAGACUUGAAUAAACUUCAAUUUUUUAUUGAAUUGUUUUUUAAAUUAUUGUCAAUUUGUUUGAUUAAAUUCAAAAUAAUCUUCAAAACUUUCAACAACGGAUCUCUUGGUUCUCGCAUCGAUGAAGAACGCAGCGAAAUGCGAUAAGUAAUAUGAAUUGCAGAUUUUCGUGAAUCAUCCAAUCUUUGAACGCACAUUGCGCCCUUUGGUAUUCCAAGGGGCAUGCCUGUUUGAGCGUCAUUUCUCUCUCAAACCUUUGGGUUUGGUAUUGAGUGAUACUCUUAGUCAGACUAGGCGUUUGCUUGAAAUGUAUCGGCAUGAGUGCGCUAGAUAGUGCUUUCUGAUUAUUCAAUGUAUUAGGUUUAUCCAACUCGUUGAAGGAUCAGGUGUAAAUUUCUGGUGGCAAUUGCUCGGCCUUACAACGACAAACAAGUUUGACCUCAAAUCAGGUAAGAAUACCCGCUGAACUUAAGCAUAUCAAUAAG
RNAcentral lists this ribosomal RNA (541 nucleotides) under Yamadazyma diddensiae. RNAcentral describes it as "eukaryotic LSU rRNA". The stretch from base 143 to 296 matches the Rfam family "5.8S ribosomal RNA". Lineage: Eukaryota; Fungi; Ascomycota; Pichiomycetes; Serinales; Debaryomycetaceae. The record is from RNAcentral.